RNAcentral lists this ribosomal RNA (327 nucleotides) under Triticum aestivum (bread wheat). Its description in RNAcentral is "partial small subunit ribosomal RNA". Lineage: Eukaryota; Viridiplantae; Streptophyta; Magnoliopsida; Poales; Poaceae. The record is from RNAcentral.
GUUUGGAAUGUUCGGGGGCUUAACAGCCCUGCUAAGAGGAAAGUACUUAGAGAGUUCGUGGAUUUGAUUCAUGUGGCAUUGGUGUGUAUCCUUGAGACCAAGUUGGAGUCGGUAGACCAAUUCUUAAUAAUGCAAUGUCUAGGGCCACCUUAUGAUGGUUUUACCUACCUUUCGGUGUUUGACACGAGAGGUGGGACCUUUGUGGCGUGGGAUUCAUCUCGGGUACUCGUUUUGAAUAUUGUAAACGACACCUACUCACUCACGGGCUAUGUGUUACCUAAGGAGGGCCCUUCAUGGUGUCUUUCGGUGGUUUAUGGGCCACAAUAG